UAUCUCUGAAAAUUCUCUUUUUAACCCACAUCUCUCUUAGUAGAAAAUGCUUGGUGGUUUACAAAUGGCUUUCGAAUGCUUUCUUAAGAUGUUUUUACUUCAAAAUGUUUCUGUGAGACUUUACUUUAUAGAAUUCCUCGGCCUUUCUUCCUCAAAAGGCUUUAAUACAAUUACUUCAAAAAACUGACUUUUAAAACUUAUACUGGAGUCUGAAAUCCUGGCUAAACUGCCCUUUAAAACCCAAACUAGGACACUCUGUCCUUCCUAAGCUCAGCUAUCACCAAAAACUGUCUCAGCUAUCACAUUGGUUGAACUCCCAGGAAUCAGCUACCUCCUUAGCUGUCCCAGCUCAACUCCCAACUGACUAGAAUGUUCAGGCAUAACUGAACUAACUGACUUUUAGCUCCGCCCCUCUCAUGCCCCAGCACCUGCUCAUUUGCAUCUGGCCAAUCAGGCUGCUCCAUGCAAAUAGCUGCUAGAUGGCUCCUCCCCCGGCUCUGCUGUACAAUGGGAGCCACAAAAUGUCUGCCAAACUUCCUGGCUCUACAAAAUGGCUGCUCACAAACCAACCCUUCGAAGUAGGCCACACACCAACUUUUCCUCUGAAAGAGAUUGUAACAGAAUUUUCCCUAUGGAGCGAACCUCCCCAGAGCAAACAAAGCCAGAAGCUCUUGAAGUAAGGUAGAGCUGUUGGAGCUUAGAUCAUCAUCAUAGGCAUAUCCAUGUCCAAGUACCGAGAUCAGCGAAAGCUUUGACAGGACCACUUGCCACUCAAAUGAGCCACAUGUUUCCUGGAAUUGAUCUCAGUGGUUCUGGUCACCACAAGACUGCCCAAUAAGGAAUGAAAGGAGCUGGAAGUACAGACAACAGUCUUUCAAGUUUCCUUCACCUCCUAGAUGGAGAUUCAAUUGUGCUCUGGAUUAAGAAAGAAAAGAAAAGAUAAUCAGGAGGAAUGAAGCAGUCAAAUGUUUUAUCCCUAUUGCUGUGCCUUGAGGGCAUUACAUUGCAGAAUCACACAGGACUAUGGACAGAUAAAUGUUAAAAAAUUAGUUAUAACUGCCUUUGCAUAUUUAUUGGCAUCUUGCUCAGACAGUAGAAAUCUUGUGACCUGCCAAGCCAAGGAAGGGACCAAGGCCAGCAGGAUAAAUUAGGAACGCUUUAGAGACUCUACCAGAGUGAGUGAAUGUGCAUAAAUGAUGGUCUCUUGUAGAAAAAAAGAGACUAAAUUUCUUGAAUAAACGAACCCUUUUUGAAUU
Anolis carolinensis (green anole) is the source of this 1256-nucleotide long non-coding RNA. RefSeq lists it as uncharacterized. Lineage: Eukaryota; Metazoa; Chordata; Lepidosauria; Squamata; Anolidae. The record is from RefSeq and is a predicted model, not a curated record. The transcript is spliced from 3 exons.